This 460-nucleotide ribosomal RNA is filed under the name Bacillus licheniformis. RNAcentral describes it as "bacterial SSU rRNA". It matches the Rfam family "Bacterial small subunit ribosomal RNA", at positions 938 to 1400 of the family's 1533-position model. The record is from RNAcentral. Lineage: Bacteria; Bacillati; Bacillota; Bacilli; Caryophanales; Bacillaceae.
CAUGUGGUUUAUUCGAAGCAACGCGAAGAACCUUACCAGGUCUUGACAUCCUCUGACAAUCCUAGAGAUAGGACGUCCCCUUCGGGGGCAGAGUGACAGGUGGUGCAUGGUUGUCGUCAGCUCGUGUCGUGAGAUGUUGGGUUAAGUCCCGCAACGAGCGCAACCCUUGAUCUUAGUUGCCAGCAUUCAGUUGGGCACUCUAAGGUGACUGCCGGUGACAAACCGGAGGAAGGUGGGGAUGACGUCAAAUCAUCAUGCCCCUUAUGACCUGGGCUACACACGUGCUACAAUGGGCAGAACAAAGGGCAGCGAAACCGCGAGGUUAAGCCAAUCCCACAAAUCUGUUCUCAGUUCGGAUCGCAGUCUGCAACUCGACUGCGUGAAGCUGGAAUCGCUAGUAAUCGCGGAUCAGCAUGCCGCGGUGAAUACGUUCCCGGGCCUUGUACACACCGCCCCGUAU